GAUAAUUUAUCUCUGUGUCGUAGCUAACGCGUUAAGCACUCCGCCUGGGGACUACGGUCGCAAGACUAAAACUCAAAGGAAUUGACGGGGACCCGCACAAGCGGUGGAGCAUGUGGUUUAAUUCGAUGCAACGCGAAAAACCUUACCACUUCUUGACAUGAAGGUUUUAUCUUUCUUAACAGAAAGAGUCAGUUCGGCUGGACCUUACACAGGUGCUGCAUGGCUGUCGUCAGCUCGUGUCGUGAGAUGUUGGGUUAAGUCCCGCAACGAGCGCAACCCUCAUCCUUAGUUGCCAACAGGUAAUGCUGGGAACUCUAGGGAAACUGCCAGUGAUAAACUGGAGGAAGGUGGGGAUGAUGUCAAGUCAGCACGGCCCUUAUGAGGUGGGCUACACACGUGCUACAAUGGCGACUACAAUAGGUUGCAAAACUGCAAAGUUGAGCUAAUCCACAAAAGUCGUCUCAAUUCGGAUUGUUCUCUGUAACUCGAGAGCAUGAAGUCGGAAUCGCUAGUAAUCGUGGAUCAGCAUGCCACGGUGAAUACGUUCUCGGGUCUUGUACACACUGCCCGUCACGCCAUGGAAGUUGGCUUAACUCGAAACUAAUGUGCUAACCGAAA
RNAcentral lists this ribosomal RNA (618 nucleotides) under Ehrlichia endosymbiont of Bos taurus. RNAcentral's name for it is "bacterial SSU rRNA". It matches the Rfam family "Bacterial small subunit ribosomal RNA", at positions 827 to 1444 of the family's 1533-position model. Lineage: Bacteria; Pseudomonadati; Pseudomonadota; Alphaproteobacteria; Rickettsiales; Anaplasmataceae. The record is from RNAcentral.